AUGUCACUGGACGAAGUGAUUGGGCUUCAUGGGCUUGACUAAGUUCCGACCCAGGAAAGUCCCCGGGCCACUUUUCCGCAGAGAUGCGGCCUCGGUAACGAGAGAAUCGUACGGUGGAGAGAUUAAAGCUGAGACACGUGUGUGGAGCUCUCUCUGCCGACGAUAUCAUGGCCGUUCGUAUUACGACAGUUAUUCACCUGGUCCUUGUCAGGACUAACUGAACGGGGCUUACGUUUCAAUGACA
This 244-nucleotide RNase MRP RNA is filed under the name Capsella rubella. Its description in RNAcentral is "RNase MRP". It matches the Rfam family "RNase MRP". From Rfam's summary of the family: RNase MRP is an enzymatically active ribonucleoprotein with two distinct roles in eukaryotes. In mitochondria it plays a direct role in the initiation of mitochondrial DNA replication. The record is from Rfam by way of RNAcentral. Lineage: Eukaryota; Viridiplantae; Streptophyta; Magnoliopsida; Brassicales; Brassicaceae.